Molecule: long non-coding RNA, 780 nt
Filed under: Daphnia pulicaria
Lineage: Eukaryota; Metazoa; Arthropoda; Branchiopoda; Diplostraca; Daphniidae
Description: uncharacterized LOC124311588, transcript variant X1
Source: RNAcentral
UUGCUGGCUAAUUGUUUGAUUGAUUAAUGCCUUGGUGAAGUCGGGCUUUUUCAAGGCAGUCUAAUGUCACUUGGAUUUGUUGCAGCCAGUUGGUUAACAGUGUGGUGAGCUGUUGUAUGAAGACCAUGUGCUGUUGUGAUGAGCUUCUGCAUGCAGCCUGUAGUGCUGGGGGAAGUGCUGUAUGCUGUCUUUAGAGUGUGGUGCUAGCUUUAAAUUUGGAGAAUUAACUACUUAACUAUUAGUUUUGAGUCAUUCAUUUUUUAAUUGUUUUCAAAGUCAGUUUGAGUUUAUUUCAGUGUCUAUUUGGUGUGCAGUUCAUGUUCGGGUGGUUUUGUUGCAACCAGAUGUUGAUAGAGAGUUCAAGGCAAGUUGAGCUGCAGGUUCUGUAAGCAAUCUUCAUUGCUGGUGCCAUCCUAGAGUUAGAUAGCAACGUAGUCAUCUGGAAAUGGAUCGUGUAAAUGUUCAGCGGUUUCGUAAUCUGAUUCUAGUCAAGAUUUUAUCCUGAAUUGAGCUGAAGUCCCUGCAGUAACUGUUUCUGGUGUUAUCCUGAUGUUGCUGUGCCGGUGAAAUACCAGUUGAUAAAAAUUUGAUCUGUAUGUGUUUCAUCCUAAGUAUAUCGAAGAUUAACGUUUGUGAUUGAAUUCUCUAUUAUGACAAAAGUAUCAACUGUAGUCAUCCUAGAUGACGAAAUUACCUCAACCCUUAUUAUUGCAAUUUUUUAUUAUCCUUGUAAAUUUACAAAAAUCUAAUGUUACAAUAAAAAAAAAUUAAGCUUUUAAA